GAUGAACGCUGGCGGCGUGCCUAAUACAUGCAAGUCGAGCGAACAGACGAGGAGCUUGCUCCUCUGACGUUAGCGGCGGACGGGUGAGUAACACGUGGAUAACCUACCUAUAAGACUGGGAUAACUUCGGGAAACCGGAGCUAAUACCGGAUAACAUGUUGAACCGCAUGGUUCAACAGUGAAAGACGGUCUUGCUGUCACUUAUAGAUGGAUCCGCGCCGCAUUAGCUAGUUGGUAAGGUAACGGCUUACCAAGGCAACGAUGCGUAGCCGACCUGAGAGGGUGAUAGGCCACCUUGGAAGUGAGACACGGUCCAGACUCCUACGGGAGGCAGCAGAAUGGAACCUGACGCAAUGGGCGAAAGCAUGACGGAGCAACGCCGCGUGAGUGAAGAAGGUCUUCGGAGCGUAAAACCCUGUUAUGAGGGAAGAACAAAUGUGUAAGUAACUAUGCACGUCUUGACGGUACCUAAUAAGAAAGCCACGGCUAACUACGUG
This 497-nucleotide ribosomal RNA is filed under the name uncultured bacterium. RNAcentral's name for it is "partial 16S ribosomal RNA". It matches the Rfam family "Bacterial small subunit ribosomal RNA", at positions 28 to 507 of the family's 1533-position model. The record is from RNAcentral.